GCCAGGUGCGGUGGUGGCGCACACCUGUAAUCCCAGCAGCUUGGGAGGCUGAGUCAGGAGGAUCAUGAGUUCAAAGCCAUCCUCAGUAAAAGUGAGGUGCUAAGCAACUCAGUGAGACCCUGUCUCUA
This 128-nucleotide small RNA is filed under the name Marmota monax (woodchuck). The record is from RNAcentral. Lineage: Eukaryota; Metazoa; Chordata; Mammalia; Rodentia; Sciuridae.